UCCCUGAUGGUCUAGUGGUUAGGAUUCUGGGCUUUCACUGCUAGAGCCCAGGUUCAAUCCCUGGUGUGGGAA
Molecule: non-coding RNA, 72 nt
Organism: Bos taurus (domestic cattle)
Lineage: Eukaryota; Metazoa; Chordata; Mammalia; Artiodactyla; Bovidae
Source: Rfam